This 1386-nucleotide ribosomal RNA is filed under the name metagenome. RNAcentral describes it as "bacterial LSU rRNA". It matches the Rfam family "Bacterial large subunit ribosomal RNA", at positions 1464 to 2925 of the family's 2925-position model. The record is from RNAcentral.
ACACAGGGACACAUAUGAAGUCUCGGAGCCGGGUGUUGGUUCCGGUAGCGAUCGAGGGAAAUUAGUACCGAAGUCCGGGAUGGAAGAUGGCGAGAAAAGCUGUGUGUAUUUCUGCGGUGCCCGUACCGCAAACCGACACAGGUAGGUAGGAAGAAGAUUCUAAGGCCAACGGGAGAAGGGUUGUUAAGGAACUCGGCAAAUUGACCCCGUAACUUCGGGAGAAGGGGUGCUGCAGCAAUGCAGCCGCAGAGAAUCGGCCCAAGCAACUGUUUACCAAAAACACAGGUUUGUGCUAAAUCGAAAGAUGACGUAUACGAGCUGACGCCUGCCCGGUGCUGGAAGGUUAAGAGGAGAUGUGCAAGCAUUGAAUCGAAGCCCCAGUGAACGGCGGCCGUAACUAUAACGGUCCUAAGGUAGCGAAAUUCCUUGUCAGGUAAGUUCUGACCCGCAUGAAAGGCGUAAUGAUUUGGGCACUGUCUCAACAGCCCGCCCGGCGAAAUUGUAGUACCGGUGAAGAUGCCGGUUACCCGCGACAAGACGGAAAGACCCCAUGGAGCUUUGCUGUAGCCUAAUAUUGGGUUUCGAUGUUGCAUGCACAGGAUAGAUGGGACACUGGGAAGCAGGUGCUUUGGCGCUUGUGGAGUGGCCGUUGGGAUACCAUCCUUGCGAUAUUGGAAUUCUAACCUGCGCCUUUGAAUCAAGGCGGGGGACAUUGUUAGGUGGGCAGUUUGACUGGGGCGGUCGCCUCCUAAAGAGUAACGGAGGCGUUCAAAGGUUCGCUCAGCUUGAACGGAAAUCAAGCAAAAGAGUGCAAACGCAGAAGCGAGCCUAACUGCGAGACUGACGGGUCGAGCAGUAACGAAAGUUGGAGUUAGUGAUCCGGUGGUAUGUGAGUGGAAAUGCCAUCGCUCAACGGAUAAAAGUUACCCUGGGAAUAACAGGCUGAUCUCCCCCAAGAGUCCACAUCGACGGGGAGGUUUGGCACCUCGAUGUCGGCUCAUCGCAUCCUGGGGCUGUAUUCGGUCCCAAGGGUUUGGCUGUUCGCCAAUUAAAGCGGUACGCGAGCUGGGUUCAGAACGUCGUGAGACAGUUCGGUCCCUAUCUGUCGUGGGCGCAGGAUAUUUGAUGGGAGCUGUUCCUAGUACGAGAGGACCGGAGCGGACGUACCUCUGGCGCACCAGUUGUUCUGCCAAGAGCAUAGCUGGGCAACUAUGUACGGAUCGGAUAAACGCUGAAAGCAUCUAAGCGUGAAGCCGACCCAAAGAUAAGAUAUCCCAUUGUUUCAAACAAGUAAGACCCCCUUGAAGACUACAAGGUUGAUAGGCACGAUGUGUAAGUGGAGCGAUCCAUUCAGCAAGCGUGUACUAAUAGGUCGAGGGCUUGAUC